Mus musculus (house mouse) is the source of this 1392-nucleotide long non-coding RNA. RefSeq annotates it as predicted gene, 53393. The record is from RefSeq and is a predicted model, not a curated record. The transcript is spliced from 3 exons. Lineage: Eukaryota; Metazoa; Chordata; Mammalia; Rodentia; Muridae.
UUUUUUCCUCCACCAACACAAAGGCACCCAGAACCCUGACCAUCACCUGUUGAACAGAAGACACUGAAAUCGGGUCAAUGUAGCCCACACCUGGGGACACAUCUAUGAAGAGGAGGAGAGUGGCUCUGUGAUAGCCCAGCCAUCAUGGAACCUUAGAAGAGAACCUGACAGAAAAGAAAUGAGUCAAGGUGAACUUUGUCCUCCAGGAUGCCUUCUGUCAUAGGCAGCCUCAAAACUCACCUGAAAAGAAAAUAGAGGAACCAAUUUACAAGAAGAGAGGCAACAGGAAAUACUAAGCUUGUUUGAGGAGAUGGGGGGUAACUCCAAAAGACUACAAGUCCCAUGAUGCAUCAUCUCUUUGAAUCAUUGUCAGAGUUGUAAACUUACCAACAGUGUCGCAAGGUUCAUCUUUGUGAACGCAGAAAUCUGUCCUAAAAAAGAAAAAAGAAAAGAUACAGUCUGAUGUAUGUGGUACUCUGCAAGAAUUGGAGAAGAAAUCACAUACUAAUAUUGGUUGGUGAUCCUAGAGAUAGCCAAGGUUGCACUUUGUGCUGCAGUGGGACUUGGUAAUGUGUAAGAGUCACCCAGGUGGUACUGGUUUUGAAGGCAUGAAGGGGUCACAAAGAACAGCUGAGGCUCGGCACUGUGAGAGACCAUGGAAGGCCAUUGGUGAAGGUGCAGCCUCAGUUGAAGUUGAUGGCCCAGGACUGAAGGGUUCAUGCAUUGUUUUGGAGAUGCCAGUACCAUGAGAUGACCACCAAGAACAGCAACAGCAGUGGAGUACAGGCAGCUGGAGCCUAGAAGACAAGCUGUGUGCUACAAAGGGCAUAGCUGAAGAAGCGACCCAAGCCCUUGGAGGAGCCCAGAAGAUCGUGAGUUGGAUCCCAGACAUUGGAUGGUUGGAGAUUGAUUUUUGCUUUUGAUUGUGACUGUGCCCUGAUAUUUUCCCUCUUGAAGGAAGAAAAUAUUUUAGUGGAUCCCACAGUUAAGAGACAUUUAAUUGUAAAAAGACUUUGGAUUUUAAAAGAUAUUGGACAUUUUAAAGGGAUUGCCUUUUGAUAUGUAAAGACUGUAGGACUUUUAAAGUUGUUUAGUUGUUGUUGCUUUAAUUUAGACAAAUGACAAUGUCUGUCUGUCAAAAGUAAACCAUCUAUGGCAGUUCUAAAUGGUUAAGGACAGUCACUACAUAGAAGAACCCAUAUUAAAAAUGUUUUUGCAUUUAUUUGUGAAGUGUGCAUGCAUGUGCCAUAGCACACAGGCAGAGAUCCGAGGAAGUCAGUUUUCUUCUGGAGGCGAGGUGUGGGGAGAGAACUCAGGCCAUCCGGCUUGGAGGUAAGUACCUUCAUGCACUGAGUCACCUCACUGCCUCAGGACUCCCUCUUACAGCUGAAG